This 640-nucleotide long non-coding RNA is filed under the name Equus caballus (horse). RNAcentral's name for it is "lncRNA (ENSECAG00000057689.1)". The record is from RNAcentral. Lineage: Eukaryota; Metazoa; Chordata; Mammalia; Perissodactyla; Equidae.
UGCCAUAUUUAUUUAAGGACUACACCUGUUGACAUUUAGGUUGUUGCUAUAAAGUGAACUUCUCUGUAGAUUUAGGCGAUUUUGUUUGUUUCAUCUUUUUUAUUAAGGUAUAAUUUAGAUACAGUAAAAGUAUCCAUUUUAGUGUAUAGUUCUCCAGAUUUUGGCAAACAAUACAGUCUUGUAACCAUUAGCCAUUAGCACAGUUAAUCUGUAGAAUUUCAUCAUCCCCCUGAAAGUCCACAGUCCUCAUCUGGACCCCACCCCUCCUCCAGCCCUGGCAGGCAGUGAUCUUUUCUGUCCCUAUAGUUUCUUCUUUUUGAGGGCGUCAUAUAAAUGGACUCAUACCAUAUGUAGCCUUGGAGGCUGGCUGCUUUCACACACCUGGGGUUCGUUCACGAAGAUGAAAGGAUUCACCCCGAGCUGACAUCUGUUGCCAGUCUGCCUCUUUUUCUUCUCCUUCUCCCCAAAGCCUGAGUGCAUGAUCCUGGUUCCCCCCAGUACACAGCUGUACAUUCUAAUUGUAGGCCCUUCUGGCUCUGCUAUGUGGGACAACGCCUCAGCAUGGCUUGAUGAGUGAUGCUAGGUCCACGCCCAGGAUCUAAACCGGCAAAACCCCGGGCUGCCGAAGUGGAGCAGGCAA